This 309-nucleotide ribosomal RNA is filed under the name uncultured bacterium. RNAcentral describes it as "bacterial SSU rRNA". It matches the Rfam family "Bacterial small subunit ribosomal RNA", at positions 28 to 334 of the family's 1533-position model. The record is from RNAcentral.
GACGAACGCUGGCGGCGUGCCUAACACAUGCAAGUCGAACGGAAGUAAGUGCUUCGGUAUUUACUUUAGUGGCGAACGGGUGAGUAACGCGUGAGGAACCUGCCUUUCAGUGGGGGACAACAGUUGGAAACGACUGCUAAUACCGCAUGACGCUUCUUGGGGGCAUCCCUGAGAAGUCAAAGCUUUAGUGUGCUGAAAGAUGGACUCGCGUCCAAUUAGCUAGUUGGUGAGGUAACGGCCCACCAAGGCGACGAUUGGUAGCCGGACUGAGAGGUUGAACGGCCACAUUGGGACUGAGAUACGGCCCAG